RNAcentral lists this ribosomal RNA (520 nucleotides) under uncultured Glomus. RNAcentral's name for it is "SSU rRNA". It matches the Rfam family "Eukaryotic small subunit ribosomal RNA", at positions 569 to 1092 of the family's 1831-position model. The record is from RNAcentral. Lineage: Eukaryota; Fungi; Glomeromycota; Glomeromycetes; Glomerales; Glomeraceae.
AGCAGCCGCGGUAAUUCCAGCUCCAAUAGCGUAUAUUAAAGUUGUUGCAGUUAAAAAGCUCGUAGUUGAAUUUCGGGAUCAAUUAGUCGGUCGUGCCUCUGGUACGUACUGGUUUUAUUGGUUCCUCCCUUCUGACGAAACAUGAUGUCAUUAAUUUGGUGUCGUGGAGAAUCAGGACUGUUACCUUGAAAAAAUUAGAGUGUUUAUAGCAGGCUAACGCUUGAAUACAUUAGCAUGGAAUAAUGAAAUAGGACGUUCGACCCUAUUUUGUUGGUUUCUAGGAUCGGCGUAAUGAUUAAUAGGGAUAGUUGGGGGCAUUAGUAUUCAAUUGUCAGAGGUGAAAUUCUUGGAUUUAUUGAAGACUAACUACUGCGAAAGCAUUUGCCAAGGAUGUUUUCAUUAAUCAAGAACGAAAGUUAGGGGAUCGAAGACGAUCAGAUACCGUCGUAGUCUUAACCAUAAACUAUGCCGACUAGGGAUCGGAUGAUGUAAUUUUUAAUGACUCAUUCGGCGCCUUACG